GAUGAACGCUGGCGGCGUGCCUAAUACAUGCAAGUCGAGCGAAUGGAUUAAGAGCUUGCUCUUAUGAAGUUAGCGGCGGACGGGUGAGUAACACGUGGGUAACCUGCCCAUAAGACUGGGAUAACUCCGGGAAACCGGGGCUAAUACCGGAUAACAUUUUGAACCGCAUGGUUCGAAAUUGAAAGGCGGCUUCGGCUGUCACUUAUGGAUGGACCCGCGUCGCAUUAGCUAGUUGGUGAGGUAACGGCUCACCAAGGCAACGAUGCGUAGCCGAACUGAGAGGGUGAUCGGCCACACUGGGACUGAGACACGGCCCAGACUCCUACGGGAGGCAGCAGUAGGGAAUCUUCCGCAAUGGACGAAAGUCUGACGGAGCAACGCCGCGUGAGUGAUGAAGGCUUUCGGGUCGUAGAACUCUGUUGUUAGGGAAGAACAAGUGCUAGUCGAAUAAGCUGGCACCUUGACGGUACCUAACCAGAAAGCCACGGCUAACUACGUGCCAGCCGCCGCAGUAA
This 515-nucleotide ribosomal RNA is filed under the name uncultured bacterium. RNAcentral describes it as "partial 16S ribosomal RNA". It matches the Rfam family "Bacterial small subunit ribosomal RNA", at positions 28 to 523 of the family's 1533-position model. The record is from RNAcentral.